Gavialis gangeticus (Gharial) is the source of this 2530-nucleotide long non-coding RNA. RefSeq lists it as uncharacterized. Lineage: Eukaryota; Metazoa; Chordata; Crocodylia; Gavialidae. The record is from RefSeq and is a predicted model, not a curated record. The transcript has 2 exons.
CCCCGGCAGGUGGGCCGGCGGCCUGACUCCAGAGCAGGAUUUGCAGAUGAAAGUCGAGGCUGCUGUUGCUGGUGCAACCGUGGAAAUGAGCUCUCGGUCCAGAAGGACCCCCUGCCAGAUAAGACCUUGUCACAACAGCUGGCGCGCUGUGCAAAGCCCCCGUGCCGCUCCGGCUUUCAAAGAUGCCGAGCAGCUGCGAAUGCCGCGGGAGUCUCUGUGGCCUGCCUGCGCCUGGCACCUUUGAAAAGCGGGACCCUGCGGCACGGUGAAACGCUCUUCAUCUCGGCUUCAAAACCUGCAGCAGAAAGGGAAUUCAUUUCCAGCGGGAGCGCAGCGAGCUCGCGGCCCUGCACAGAUCUGCGCGUGCAGGGGGGAGCGAUCAAGCGGCACGCUCAGGCAGAGGCGCAAACCCAGGCGGAGGAUGUCGAACAAGCCCCGAGCACAGCUGGCACCACGGCCGUGCCCAUGCGGGCCGCGCGCCCCUCUCCGCGCACAGCGAGACAGCCGUGCAGCACAGCUGCCUGUUUCCCACGCCGGCUGCCGAGCCAGAGCCCGUGGUGGCAGGAACAAAAGGCAAACGCGGUGUUAGCUGGAGGGAGCCCUCCCCUCCUCUGGGUGAUUUCAACGGCAAACAACCUUGGUGUCUGGGGGUCCUUUUUAUUUCCCUUUUAUUUCAUCUCCCACGGAGUGGCAGCAGGGCAUCCCGGGGGGGCCGUGCACUUUGUUGGUUGAAGCCGCAGCGCUCCUCUGAGAGUCUGCGUUUGCUGCCGUUUGAAAGCAGCACGCACAAAAGGUGACGGCGUGCGCACCCGUCGCCAGGCCGGCCCCGCGCUGCGUCAGGCAGCACGAAAUCCGCGUGGAUCCAAGUAACUGGGGGAAAUCGCUGUUAAGCCAGGCAACGAGCUGAACCUGCUUCGGGUUUCAUGGCCUGUCAUGUGGUUCAUUACACCAUAAGGCGCUGCUCGUGCUCGGGGUUGUAUAAGGAACGAGCUAAAUUCAUUUGUCAAAUGGAGACCGCGGGCCGGGUUCGAGGAGCGUCACAUUAGUCCCGCGGCAGCGAAUGCCAGUUUGCAUUAGCCUGAUUAGAUUUAAAAGCAGAUUCUGACAUCAGGCGCGUCUUCACAGACCUGCAGAUCCAGAACUGACUCCAAGAAGAUUGGAAAUACAUUGCAGGGGCAACUUGAAAUGGUUUCGUGCAAUAUAAAAGUGUCGUUGCUGCUGCUAAGCGGGAGCCGUGUUGUGCUGCAGGGCAAUGCAGGAUGAUUCACGGGUUCGGAGGCGCUUCUCCCGCGGCCCCCAAGGGACGCCCAAGACUUUGUUUCAUUUGCCGGUGAAGCCUCUUUCUCCUUCUUGGUUCAAUCCUGCCAAGGGCUGAGCCCCUCCCUGGGAUCUGCGUUAUCCUCCAGCCCCAGGGAGGACUUGGGGCUGGCGACACCGGGGCUGUCUGCACCUCCCGGGUCGAGGCUUCCAGCCAGGGGCCGUGACCGGGCGUGAAGUCUGGAGGCAGCUGCGACGAGGCCGUGUGGUGGGGCCUGAGCUCGGGCAGCGGUGAUGCUCCCCGUCCUGGCCGGCCGCCUUGCAGGAGGAGCCGUCCGUCAAUGUCGAAGCCCCCGUAAGGGCGCCCAUCUCACCCCCGCCGUGUUCGUGGCCCCUCCUGGCACCCCUGACUGCACCCGGGGUGGCGCAGCUAGUGGCAUUGAAUUACCCACCGUCAACUCGCCCGUGCUCUUUUCACAGGGCCUUUCCCCAGAGACCAAAGAGCGUCGAGAGAUCCCCGCCAGCGCGUCGUGAUCCACCUGCCGCAGGGCCUGGGGCUGGGCAGGGGAAGCAGCUCCCCACUUGCCCCCCGAUGAAGCACCGUGGCCCACCCUGGUGCCCCACAGCAGCAGCCGAGCGGUGCCAUGGGACUCGGGCGCUGAGCCGGGUCCCUUCCCCGUGCUCUGAGGACAGCUCGCAGCUCGCAGCGCCGACGGGCUGAGCACCCCCACGUGCUCCGGGGCAGGUCCCACGUGUGACUGUGGGACCCCACCGGGCCACGCCGCCCUGCUCGUCCCAUCCCUAGAGGUUUCUUUUUGAUGUGGGCAUCGUCCCGGAUCCCGGGAGGAGACGCUGAGCAACGGGAGAAGAAGAGACUCCGUGCCUGCAGCUCCGGACACGGAGCCACGAGAGACUCCUGGCCCUGCCACAGCCCCCAGGCCCGCGGCUGCCCCCCGCCUCAGCUCGGUUUCCAGCAGUCCCUUUGCUGUGUGCUCCACCGUGCCCGUGCGCCCAGCUACAUGUGUCUGCAUUUGUAAUGUGCUAAUUUGACAGAGGAAUUAUUUUCUAUCUGACUGGAUGAUUCAUUGUGCUGGAAAAUCUGGUACUUUAUGGUUCAGAGACUGGAAAUGGAGAAUUCAUCCUCCUGAAACCAAACCGCCGAGCUGCACCCUCCUCCAACACGUCUGUGUGUGUGUCGCCCUGCACCUGAUGGCAGAACAUCUCCGUCUGAACUUGAACCCACGGCACUGAAUAAUAAACCGUUGUAGCAGCU